Molecule: ribosomal RNA, 468 nt
Filed under: uncultured bacterium
Lineage: Bacteria
Description: partial 16S ribosomal RNA
Rfam family: Bacterial small subunit ribosomal RNA
Source: RNAcentral
GACGAACGCUGGCGGUGUGCUUAAUACAUGCAAGUCGAACGGAAAGGCCCUGCUUUUGCGGGGUGCUCGAGUGGCGAACGGGUGAGAAACACGUGAGUAACCUGCCCUUGACUUUGUGAUAACUCCAGGACACUGGGGCUAAUACCGGAUAGGAGAUCAUGCUGCAUGGUGGCGGUUAGAAAGGUCAGGAUGUUAGGGCAGGACUGGCGACUUACAAGCUUGUUGGUGGAGUAGUGGCUUACCAAGUAUAUGAUUGGCAGCGUGCCUGAAAGGGUGACCAACCACGAUAGGACUGAGUUACGGCCCAGACUCCUACAGGAGGCAACAGUGGGGAAUAUUACGCAGUGGGCGGAAGCCUUAUGCAACAACGCCACGAGCGGGAUGACGGCCUACGGGUUGUCAGCCUAUUUCGCCUGAAACGAAGCUUGAGUGACGGUAAUGGAUAAAGAAGCACCGGCUAACUACGUG